This 357-nucleotide long non-coding RNA is filed under the name Physcomitrium patens. Its description in RNAcentral is "long non-coding RNA (PPAT_LNC009824)". Lineage: Eukaryota; Viridiplantae; Streptophyta; Bryopsida; Funariales; Funariaceae. The record is from RNAcentral.
UUUAUUAAAGAUUUGAUUAAGAUUGGUAUUAUGCUAUAUUAAAACUUAAUUACGAUUUGGUGAGAAUUUUAUUAGGAUUUAAUCUAAAUUUUAAUUAAGAUUUGAAUAGAAUUUAAUUUGAAAUUUGGUCUAGGAUUUGAUUAAGAUUUGAUUAGAAUUUGGUUAGGUUUUCAUUAGGAUUUGGUCUAAGAUUUGAUUGGAAUUUGAUUUAGAAUUUUAUUAGGAUUUAUUUAAGAUUUAUUUAGGAUUUUAUUAGAACUUUAUGAAGGUUAUAUUAGAAUUUGAUUAGUAUUCUUAUUUUUAAUAAUUAUUUAAUAUUUCUUUAAUAUUUCUUUAAGAUUUUUUUAUUAUAUAUAU